ACGAACGCUGGCGGCAUGCCUAACACAUGCAAGUCGAACGAGACCUUCGGGUCUAGUGGCGCACGGGUGCGUAACGCGUGGGAACCUGCCCUUAGGUUCGGGAUAACUCCCCGAAAGGGGUGCUAAUACCGGAUAAUGUCUUCGGACCAAAGAUUUAUCGCCUUUGGAUGGGCCCGCGUUGGAUUAGCUAGUUGGUAGGGUAAAAGCCUACCAAGGCGACGAUCCAUAGCUGGUCUGAGAGGAUGAUCAGCCACACUGGGACUGAGACACGGCCCAGACUCCUACGGGAGGCAGCAGUGGGGAAUAUUGGACAAUGGGCGAAAGCCUGAUCCAGCAAUGCCGCGUGAGUGAUGAAGGCCUUAGGGUUGUAAAGCUCUUUUACCCGGGAUGAUAAUGACAGUACCGGGAGAAUAAGCUCCGGCUAACUCCGAG
RNAcentral lists this ribosomal RNA (432 nucleotides) under uncultured bacterium. Its description in RNAcentral is "partial 16S ribosomal RNA". It matches the Rfam family "Bacterial small subunit ribosomal RNA", at positions 29 to 507 of the family's 1533-position model. The record is from RNAcentral.